RNAcentral lists this long non-coding RNA (566 nucleotides) under Olea europaea subsp. europaea. The record is from RNAcentral. Lineage: Eukaryota; Viridiplantae; Streptophyta; Magnoliopsida; Lamiales; Oleaceae.
UGAAAAAAAAUAAAUAGAUAAUCUUACCUUAAGAAUCGCAAAACAAAAUGGGACAACCUUGUACACUUCAAGAAUUCAGCUCCUUAGAUCUAACCUACUGAUUAAAAUUAUUUGUUUCCUCUAGGCUCCAGAUGAUAACAAAAACAUCGCAAACUUCAAAUAGAAAAAUACAAUUGAGCAUAGUAGAAUUUGACAAAAAAAUUCAAAAAAAUCAAAAUAAAAAUGAAAAAAAUAAUCCAAUCAAAUUAUAAAUGACCACCACAGCAGAGGUAAAAGAAGCACAAAGUAGAAACAAGAACAAUGGCCUCCACCACAUAUACAAUCUUGAAAAUAACAUCAUCAACUAGCCAUAUUUGAAAAUUUACACCCUUCCAUUUUAGGGAAGAGGAGAACCUCCAUGGCCGCCACUCUCUGCUCAGUUUCUUCAUUGACCAAAUCCUCUUCAUCUCUCUCUGCGGGUGUCAUUUUCGAGGGGUGUGUGUGUAUUUUAUAUAUGGUGCACAAUGCUAUGGGCAUAGGUUACAUCACUGGUGAGAAAGGAUACCGCUGGCCGAGGCUCAAAUGAG